UACCCGGUAGUGUAAUUGGCAACACAACAGGUUUUGGUCCUGUAUUUUGAGGUUCAAGUCCUCACCGGGUAGCCA
This 75-nucleotide transfer RNA is filed under the name Candidatus Brocadiia bacterium. Its description in RNAcentral is "tRNA-Gln". It matches the Rfam family "tRNA". Rfam says of the family: Transfer RNA (tRNA) molecules are approximately 80 nucleotides in length. Their secondary structure includes four short double-helical elements and three loops (D, anti-codon, and T loops). Lineage: Bacteria; Pseudomonadati; Planctomycetota; Candidatus Brocadiia. The record is from RNAcentral.